GACGGGUGAGUAACACGUGGAUAACCUUACCUAUAAGACUGGGAUAAACUUCGGGAAACCGGAGCUAAUACCGGAUAAUAUUUUGAACCGCAUGGUUCAAAAGUGAAAGACGGUCUUGCUGUCACUUAUAGAUGGAUCCGCGCUGCAUUAGCUAGUUGGUAAGGUAACGGCUUACCAAGGCAACGAUGCAUAGCCGACCUGAGAGGGUGAUCGGCCACACUGGAACUGAGACACGGUCCAGACUCCUACGGGAGGCAGCAGUAGGGAAUCUUCCGCAAUGGGCGAAAGCCUGACGGAGCAACGCCGCGUGAGUGAUGAAGGUCUUCGGAUCGUAAAACUCUGUUAUUAGGGAAGAACAUAUGUGUAAGUAACUGUGCACAUCUUGACGGUACCUAAUCAGAAAGCCACGGCUAACUACGUGCCAGCAGCCGCGGUAAUACGUAGGUGGCAAGCGUUAUCCGGAAUUAUUGGGCGUAAAGCGCGCGUAGGCGGUUUUUUAAGUCUGAUGUGAAAGCCCACGGCUCAACCGUGGAGGGUCAUUGGAAACUGGAAAACUUGAGUGCAGAAGAGGAAAGUGGAAUUCCAUGUGUAGCGGUGAAAUGCGCAGAGAUAUGGAGGAACACCAGUGGCGAAGGCGACUUUCUGGUCUGUAACUGACGCUGAUGUGCGAAAGCGUGGGGAUCAAACAGGAUUAGAUACCCUGGUAGUCCACGCCGUAAACGAUGAGUGCUAAGUGUUAGGGGGUUUCCGCCCCUUAGUGCUGCAGCUAACGCAUUAAGCACUCCGCCUGGGGAGUACGACCGCAAGGUUGAAACUCAAAGGAAUUGACGGGGACCCGCACAAGCGGUGGAGCAUGUGGUUUAAUUCGAAGCAACGCGAAGAACCUUACCAAAUCUUGACAUCCUUUGACAACUCUAGAGAUAGAGCUUUCCCCUUCGGGGGACAAAGUGACAGGUGGUGCAUGGUUGUCGUCAGCUCGUGUCGUGAGAUGUUGGGUUAAGUCCCGCAACGAGCGCAACCCUUAAGCUUAGUUGCCAUCAUUAAGUUGGGCACUCUAAGUUGACUGCCGGUGACAAACCGGAGGAAGGUGGGGAUGACGUCAAAUCAUCAUGCCCCUUAUGAUUUGGGCUACACACGUGCUACAAUGGACAAUACAAAGGGCAGCGAAACCGCGAGGUCAAGCAAAUCCCAUAAAGUUGUUCUCAGUUCGGAUUGUAGUCUGCAACUCGACUACAUGAAGCUGGAAUCGCUAGUAAUCGUAGA
RNAcentral lists this ribosomal RNA (1263 nucleotides) under Staphylococcus aureus. Its description in RNAcentral is "bacterial SSU rRNA". It matches the Rfam family "Bacterial small subunit ribosomal RNA", at positions 100 to 1348 of the family's 1533-position model. Lineage: Bacteria; Bacillati; Bacillota; Bacilli; Caryophanales; Staphylococcaceae. The record is from RNAcentral.